GAUGAACGCUGACAGAAUGCUUAACACAUGCAAGUCGAUGGGGAAGUGGUGCUUGCACCAUGGCAACCAUGGCGGACGGGUGAGUAACGCGUAAGGGACUUACCUGCAGGACUGGGAUAACAGGGGGAAACUCCUGACAAGACCGGAUAAUGUCAUAGAGCUGCAUGGCUUUAUGAUGAAAGGAGACGCCUGCGGAGAGCCUUGCGUCCUAUUAGCUAGUUGGUGAGGUAAUGGCUCACCAAGGCGAAGAUAGGUAGCCGGCCUGAGAGGGUGGACGGCCACAAGGGGACUGAGAUACGGCCCUUACUCCUACGGGAGGCAGCAGUGGGGAAUAUUGGACAAUGGGGGCAACCCUGAUCCAGCAAUUCUGUGUGCACGAAGAAGGUUUUCGGAUUGUAAAGUGCUUUCAGCAGGGAAGAAGUAAGUGACGGUACCUGCAGAAGAAGCGACGGCUAAAUACGUG
This 463-nucleotide ribosomal RNA is filed under the name uncultured bacterium. RNAcentral describes it as "partial 16S ribosomal RNA". It matches the Rfam family "Bacterial small subunit ribosomal RNA", at positions 28 to 507 of the family's 1533-position model. The record is from RNAcentral.